UGGGGAAUUUUGGACAAUGGGGGCAACCCUGAUCCAGCAAUGCCGCGUGUGUGAAGAAGGCCUUCGGGUUGUAAAGCACUUUUGUCCGGAAAGAAAACGUCGUGGUUAAUACCCGUGGCGGCUGACGGUACCGGAAGAAUAAGCACCGGCUAACUACGUGCCAGCAGCCGCGGUAAUACGUAGGGUGCAAGCGUUAAUCGGAAUUACUGGGCGUAAAGCGUGCGCAGGCGGUCCGCUAAGACAGAUGUGAAAUCCCCGGGCUUAACCUGGGAACUGCAUUUGUGACUGGCGGGCUAGAGUAUGGCAGAGGGGGGUAGAAUUCCACGUGUAGCAGUGAAAUGCGUAGAGAUGUGGAGGAAUACCGAUGGCGAAGGCAGCCCCCUGGGCCAAUACUGACGCUCAUGCACGAAAGCGUGGGGAGCAAACAGGAUUAGAUACCCUGGUAGUCCACGCCCUAAACGAUGUCAACUAGUUGUCGGGUCUUCAUUGACUUGGUAACGUAGCUAACGCGUGAAGUUGACCGCCUGGGGAGUACGGUC
Molecule: ribosomal RNA, 539 nt
Filed under: uncultured bacterium
Lineage: Bacteria
Description: partial 16S ribosomal RNA
Rfam family: Bacterial small subunit ribosomal RNA
Source: RNAcentral